This 484-nucleotide ribosomal RNA is filed under the name uncultured bacterium. Its description in RNAcentral is "partial 16S ribosomal RNA". It matches the Rfam family "Bacterial small subunit ribosomal RNA", at positions 30 to 507 of the family's 1533-position model. The record is from RNAcentral.
AUUGAACGCUGGCGGCAGGCCUAACACAUGCAAGUCGAGCGGAUGAAGGGAGCUUGCUCCUGGAUUCAGCGGCGGACGGGUGAGUAAUGCCUAGGAAUCUGCCUGGUAGUGGGGGAUAACGUCCGGAAACGGGCGCUAAUACCGCAUACGUCCUGAGGGAGAAAGUGGGGGAUCUUCGGACCUCACGCUAUCAGAUGAGCCUAGGUCGGAUUAGCUAGUUGGUGGGGUAAAGGCCUACCAAGGCGACGAUCCGUAACUGGUCUGAGAGGAUGAUCAGUCAGACGGGAGGAGAGAAGGGGUACAGGCUAAUACGGGAGGCAGCCGUGGGGAGUAUUGGAAAAUGGGCGAAGGCCUGAACCAGCCUUGCCGUGGGGGGGAAGAGGGUUUUGUGAUUUUAAAGCUCUUUUGUUGGGGAGAAAGGGCAGAAAGUUAAUACCUUCCUGUUUUGACGUUACGAAAAGAAUAAGCACCGGCAACCUUCGUG